CCGCCCGUCACACCAUGGGAGUUGGUUUGACCCGAAGCCGGUGGGCUAACAGCGCAAGCUGAGGCAGCCGUCCACGGUCAGGUCAGCGACUGGGGUG
This 97-nucleotide ribosomal RNA is filed under the name uncultured bacterium. RNAcentral's name for it is "partial 16S ribosomal RNA". It matches the Rfam family "Bacterial small subunit ribosomal RNA", at positions 1390 to 1482 of the family's 1533-position model. The record is from RNAcentral.